AGUGAACGCUGGCGGUAGGCCUAACACAUGCAAGUCGAACGGCAGCACAGUAAGAGCUUGCUCUUACGGGUGGCGAGUGGCGGACGGGUGAGGAAUACAUCGGAAUCUACUUUUUCGUGGGGGAUAACGUAGGGAAACUUCCGCUAAUACCGCAUACGACCUACGGGUGCAAGCAGGGGAUCUUCGGACCUUGCGCGAUUGAAUGAGCCGAUGUCGGAUUAGCUAGUUGGCGGGGUAAAGGCCCACCAAGGCGACGAUCCGUAGCUGGUCUGAGAGGAUGAUCAGCCACACUGGAACGGAGACACGGUCCAGACUCCUACGGGAGGCAGCAGUGGGGAAUAUUGGACAAUGGGCGCAAGCCUGAUCCAGCCAUACCGCGUGUGUGAAGAAGGCCUUCGGGUUGUAAAGCCCUUUUGUUGGGAAAGAAAAGCAGCAGGUUAAUACCCCGCUGUUCUGACGGUACCCAAAGAAUAAGCACCGGCUAACUUCGUG
Molecule: ribosomal RNA, 492 nt
Filed under: uncultured bacterium
Lineage: Bacteria
Description: partial 16S ribosomal RNA
Rfam family: Bacterial small subunit ribosomal RNA
Source: RNAcentral